UGGGGAAUAUUGGACAAUGGGGGGAACCCUGAUCCAGCCAUGCCGCGUGUGUGAAGAAGGCCUUAUGGUUGUAAAGCACUUUAAGCGAGGAGGAGGGUACUGGUAUUAAUACUACCAGCUACUGGACGUUACUCGCAGAAUAAGCACCGGCUAACUCUGUGCCAGCAGCCGCGGUAAUACAGAGGGUGCGAGCGUUAAUCGGAUUUACUGGGCGUAAAGCGUGCGUAGGCGGCUAAUUGAGUCGGAUGUGAAAUCCCCGAGCUUAACUUGGGAAUUGCAUUCGAUACUGGUUAGCUAGAGUGUGGGAGAGGAUGGUAGAAUUCCAGGUGUAGCGGUUAAAUGCGUAGAGAUCUGGAGGAAUACCGAUGGCGAAGGCAGCCAUCUGGCCUAACACUGACGAUGAGGUACGAAAGCAUGGGGAGCAAACAGG
This 430-nucleotide ribosomal RNA is filed under the name Pseudomonadota bacterium. RNAcentral describes it as "Proteobacteria bacterium partial 16S ribosomal RNA". It matches the Rfam family "Bacterial small subunit ribosomal RNA", at positions 355 to 776 of the family's 1533-position model. Lineage: Bacteria; Pseudomonadati; Pseudomonadota. The record is from RNAcentral.